Molecule: ribosomal RNA, 459 nt
Filed under: uncultured bacterium
Lineage: Bacteria
Description: partial 16S ribosomal RNA
Rfam family: Bacterial small subunit ribosomal RNA
Source: RNAcentral
CCUACGGGUGGCAGCAGUGAGGAAUAUUGGUCAAUGGCCGGAAGGCUGAACCAGCCAUGCCGCGUGAAGGUCAGUGCCCUAUGGGCGUUAAACUUCUUUUGUGCGGGAGCAAUAAUGGUCACGUGUGGCCAGACGAGAGUACCGUACGAAUAAGCAUCGGCUAACUCCGUGCCAGCAGCCGCGGUAAUACGGGGGAUGCAAGCGUUAUCCGGAUUUAUUGGGUUUAAAGGGUGCGUAGGCUGUGAGGUAAGUCAGCGGUGAAAUGCCCCCGCUCAACGGGGUGAAGUGCCAUUGAUACGGCCUGGCUGGAAUGCGGAUGCCGUGGGAGGAAUGUGGGGUGUAGCGGUGAAAUGCAUAGAUAUCACACAGAACACCGAUUGCGAAGGCAUCUCACGAAUCCGCGAUUGACGCUGAUGCACGAAAGCGUGGGUAUCAAACAGGAUUAGAUACCCUGGUAGU